RNAcentral lists this transfer RNA (74 nucleotides) under Saprospiraceae bacterium. Its description in RNAcentral is "tRNA-Ala". It matches the Rfam family "tRNA". Rfam says of the family: Transfer RNA (tRNA) molecules are approximately 80 nucleotides in length. Their secondary structure includes four short double-helical elements and three loops (D, anti-codon, and T loops). Further hydrogen bonds mediate the characteristic L-shaped molecular structure. tRNAs have two regions of fundamental functional importance: the anti-codon, which is responsible for specific mRNA codon recognition, and the 3' end, to which the tRNAs corresponding amino acid is attached (by aminoacyl-tRNA synthetases). tRNAs cope with the degeneracy of the genetic code in two manners: having more than one tRNA (with a specific anti-codon) for a particular amino acid; and 'wobble' base-pairing, i.e. permitting non-standard base-pairing at the 3rd anti-codon position. The record is from RNAcentral. Lineage: Bacteria; Pseudomonadati; Bacteroidota; Saprospiria; Saprospirales; Saprospiraceae.
GGGGGAUUAGCUCAGUUGGCUAGAGCGCCUGGUUUGCAACCAGGAGGUCAUCGGUUCGAAUCCGAUAUUCUCCA